UGGGGAAUUUUGGACAAUGGGCGCAAGCCUGAUCCAGCCAUGCCGCGUGCGGGAAGAAGGCCUUCGGGUUGUAAACCGCUUUUGUCAGGGAAGAAAUCUUCUGAGUUAAUACCUCGGGAGGAUGACGGUACCUGAAGAAUAAGCACCGGCUAACUACGUGCCAGCAGCCGCGGUAAUACGUAGGGUGCAAGCGUUAAUCGGAAUACUGGGCGUAAAGCGUGCGCAGGCGGUUUUGUAAGACAGAGGUGAAAUCCCCGGGCUCAACCUGGGAACUGCCUUUGUGACUGCAAGGCUUGAGUGCGGCAGAGGGGGGAUGGAAUUCCGCGUGUAGCAGUGAAAUGCGUAGAUAUGCGGAGGAACACCGAUGGCGAAGGCAAUCCCCUGGGCCUGCACUGACGCUCAUGCACGAAACGUGGGGAGCAAACAGGAUUAGAUACCCUGGUAGUCC
RNAcentral lists this ribosomal RNA (448 nucleotides) under uncultured bacterium. RNAcentral's name for it is "partial 16S ribosomal RNA". It matches the Rfam family "Bacterial small subunit ribosomal RNA", at positions 355 to 796 of the family's 1533-position model. The record is from RNAcentral.